GUUAUAUGGUCAAGUGAAGAAGCGCAUACGGUGGAUGCCUUGGCAGUCAGAGGCGAUGAAAGACGUGGUAGCCUGCGAAAAGCUUCGGGGAGUCGGCAAACAGACUUUGAUCCGGAGAUGUCUGAAUGGGGGAACCCAGCCAUCACAAGAUGGUUAUCUUGUACUGAAUACAUAGGUGCAAGAGGCGAACCAGGGGAACUGAAACAUCUAAGUACCCUGAGGAAAAGAAAUCAACCGAGAUUCCCUUAGUAGUGGCGAGCGAACGGGGACUAGCCCUUAAGUGGCUUUGAGAUUAGCGGAACGCUCUGGAAAGUGCGGCCAUAGUGGGUGAUAGCCCUGUACGCGAAAGUCUCUUAGUCAUGAAAUCGAGUAGGACGGAGCACGAGAAACUUUGUCUGAAUAUGGGGGGACCAUCCUCCAAGGCUAAAUACUACUGACUGACCGAUAGUGAACUAGUACCGUGAGGGAAAGGCGAAAAGAACCCCGGAGAGGGGAGUGAAAUAGAUCCUGAAACCGUAUGCGUACAAGCAGUGGGAGCAGACUUUGUUCUGUGACUGCGUACCUUUUGUAUAAUGGGUCAGCGACUUAUUUUCAGUGGCGAGCUUAACCGAAUAGGGGAGGCGUAGCGAAAGCGAGUCUUAAUAGGGCGUCUAGUCGCUGGGAAUAGACCCGAAACCGGGCGAUCUAUCCAUGGGCAGGUUGAAGGUUAGGUAACACUGACUGGAGGACCGAACCGACUACCGUUGAAAAGUUAGCGGAUGACCUGUGGAUCGGAGUGAAAGGCUAAUCAAGCUCGGAGAUAGCUGGUUCUCCUCGAAAGCUAUUUAGGUAGCGCCUCAUGUAUCACUGUAGGGGGUAGAGCACUGUUUCGGCUAGGGGGUCAUCCCGACUUACCAAACCGAUGCAAACUCCGAAUACCUACAAGUGCCGAGCAUGGGAGACACACGGCGGGUGCUAACGUCCGUCGUGAAAAGGGAAACAACCCAGACCGUCAGCUAAGGUCCCAAAGUUAUGGUUAAGUGGGAAACGAUGUGGGAAGGCUUAGACAGCUAGGAGGUUGGCUUAGAAGCAGCCACCCUUUAAAGAAAGCGUAAUAGCUCACUAGUCGAGUCGGCCUGCGCGGAAGAUGUAACGGGGCUCAAACCAUACACCGAAGCUACGGGUAUCACGUAAGUGAUGCGGUAGAGGAGCGUUCUGUAAGCCUGUGAAGGUGAGUUGAGAAGCUUGCUGGAGGUAUCAGAAGUGCGAAUGCUGACAUGAGUAACGACAAUGGGUGUGAAAAACACCCACGCCGAAAGACCAAGGUUUCCUGCGCAACGUUAAUCGACGCAGGGUUAGUCGGUCCCUAAGGCGAGGCUGAAAAGCGUAGUCGAUGGAAAACAGGUUAAUAUUCCUGUACUUCUGGUUAUUGCGAUGGAGGGACGGAGAAGGCUAGGCCAGCUUGGCGUUGGUUGUCCAAGUUUAAGGUGGUAGGCUGAGAUCUUAGGUAAAUCCGGGAUCUUAAGGCCGAGAGCUGAUGACGAGUUGCCUUUAGGCGACGAAGUGGUUGAUGCCAUGCUUCCAAGAAAAGCUUCUAAGCUUCAGAUAACCAGGAACCGUACCCCAAACCGACACAGGUGGUUGGGUAGAGAAUACCAAGGCGCUUGAGAGAACUCGGGUGAAGGAACUAGGCAAAAUGGCACCGUAACUUCGGGAGAAGGUGCGCCGGUGAGGGUGAAGCACUUGCUGCGUAAGCCCACGCCGGUCGAAGAUACCAGGCCGCUGCGACUGUUUAUUAAAAACACAGCACUCUGCAAACACGAAAGUGGACGUAUAGGGUGUGACGCCUGCCCGGUGCCGGAAGGUUAAUUGAUGGGGUUAGCUAACGCGAAGCUCUUGAUCGAAGCCCCGGUAAACGGCGGCCGUAACUAUAACGGUCCUAAGGUAGCGAAAUUCCUUGUCGGGUAAGUUCCGACCUGCACGAAUGGCGUAACGAUGGCGGCGCUGUCUCCACCCGAGACUCAGUGAAAUUGAAAUCGCUGUGAAGAUGCAGUGUAUCCGCGGCUAGACGGAAAGACCCCGUGAACCUUUACUAUAGCUUUGCACUGGACUUUGAAUUUGCUUGUGUAGGAUAGGUGGGAGGCUUUGAAGCGUGGACGCCAGUUCGCGUGGAGCCAUCCUUGAAAUACCACCCUGGCAACUUUGAGGUUCUAACUCAGGUCCGUUAUCCGGAUCGAGGACAGUGUAUGGUGGGUAGUUUGACUGGGGCGGUCUCCUCCUAAAGAGUAACGGAGGAGUACGAAGGUGCGCUCAGACCGGUCGGAAAUCGGUCGUAGAGUAUAAAGGCAAAAGCGCGCUUGACUGCGAGACAGACACGUCGAGCAGGUACGAAAGUAGGUCUUAGUGAUCCGGUGGUUCUGUAUGGAAGGGCCAUCGCUCAACGGAUAAAAGGUACUCCGGGGAUAACAGGCUGAUACCGCCCAAGAGUUCAUAUCGACGGCGGUGUUUGGCACCUCGAUGUCGGCUCAUCACAUCCUGGGGCUGAAGCCGGUCCCAAGGGUAUGGCUGUUCGCCAUUUAAAGUGGUACGCGAGCUGGGUUUAGAACGUCGUGAGACAGUUCGGUCCCUAUCUGCCGUGGACGUUUGAGAUUUGAGAGGGGCUGCUCCUAGUACGAGAGGACCGGAGUGGACGAACCUCUGGUGUUCCGGUUGUCACGCCAGUGGCAUUGCCGGGUAGCUAUGUUCGGGAAAGAUAACCGCUGAAAGCAUCUAAGCGGGAAACUUGCCUCAAGAUGAGAUCUCACUGGAACCUUGAGUUCCCUGAAGGGCCGUCGAAGACUACGACGUUGAUAGGUUGGGUGUGUAAGCGCUGUGAGGCGUUGAGCUAACCAAUACUAAUUGCCCGUGAGGCUUGACCAUAUAACACCCAAGCAAUU
This 2915-nucleotide ribosomal RNA is filed under the name Pseudomonas sp. CH235. RNAcentral's name for it is "23S ribosomal RNA". It matches the Rfam family "Bacterial large subunit ribosomal RNA". RNAcentral also lists the same sequence under 2 other names. The record is from RNAcentral. Lineage: Bacteria; Pseudomonadati; Pseudomonadota; Gammaproteobacteria; Pseudomonadales; Pseudomonadaceae.